RNAcentral lists this ribosomal RNA (484 nucleotides) under uncultured bacterium. Its description in RNAcentral is "partial 16S ribosomal RNA". It matches the Rfam family "Bacterial small subunit ribosomal RNA", at positions 30 to 507 of the family's 1533-position model. The record is from RNAcentral.
AUUGAACGCUGGCGGCAGGCCUAACACAUGCAAGUCGAGCGGAUGAAGGGAGCUUGCUCCUGGAUUCAGCGGCGGACGGGUGAGUAAUGCCUAGGAAUCUGCCUGGUAGUGGGGGAUAACGUCCGGAAACGGGCGCUAAUACCGCAUACGUCCUGAGGGAGAAAGUGGGGGAUCUUCGGACCUCACGCUAUCAGAUGAGCCUAGGUCGGAUUAGCUAGUUGGUGGGGUAAAGGCCUACCAAGGCGACGAUCCGUAACUGGUCUGAGAGGAUGAUCAGUCACACUGGAACUGAGACACGGUCCAGACUCCUACGGGAGGCAGCAGUGGGGAAUAGUGGACAAUGGGCGAAAGCCUGAUCCAGCCACGCCGCGUGUGUGAAGAAGGUCUUCGGAUUGUAAAGCACUUUAAGUUGGGAGGAAGGGCAGUAAGUUAAUACCUUGCUGUUUUGACGUUACCAACAGAAUAAGCACCGGCUAACUUCGUG